UGGGGAAUUUUGGACAAUGGGCGAAAGCCUGAUCCAGCAAUGCCGCGUGUGUGAAGAAGGCCUUCGGGUUGUAAAGCACUUUUGUCCGGAAAGAAAUCCUUGGCUCUAAUACAGUCGGGGGAUGACGGUACCGGAAGAAUAAGCACCGGCUAACUACGUGCCAGCAGCCGCGGUAAUACGUAGGGUGCAAGCGUUAAUCGGAAUUACUGGGCGUAAAGCGUGCGCAGGCGGUUUGCUAAGACCGAUGUGAAAUCCCCGGGCUCAACCUGGGAACUGCAUUGGUGACUGGCAGGCUAGAGUAUGGCAGAGGGGGGUAGAAUUCCACGUGUAGCAGUGAAAUGCGUAGAGAUGUGGAGGAAUACCGAUGGCGAAGGCAGCCCCCUGGGCCAAUACUGACGCUCAUGCACGAAAGCGUGGGGGAGCAAACAGGAUUAGAUACCCUGGUAGUCCACGCCCUAAACGAUGUCAACUGGUUGUUGGGGAUUCAUUUCCUUAGUAACGUAGCUAACGCGUGAAGUUGACCGCCUGGGGAGUACGGUCGCAAGAUU
This 548-nucleotide ribosomal RNA is filed under the name uncultured bacterium. RNAcentral's name for it is "partial 16S ribosomal RNA". It matches the Rfam family "Bacterial small subunit ribosomal RNA", at positions 355 to 895 of the family's 1533-position model. The record is from RNAcentral.